This 207-nucleotide long non-coding RNA is filed under the name Mytilus galloprovincialis (Mediterranean mussel). The record is from RNAcentral. Lineage: Eukaryota; Metazoa; Mollusca; Bivalvia; Mytilida; Mytilidae.
AUUCUAUGGAAAUUUAUCCCUUUCCGAACCCAUUGUAUAAAAAAAUUUAAUCAACGUGUGGUUGCUGGUGAUCUCAAAAGAUCAUUGGAUGAUUUUAAGGGUCAUGACCUUUUUAGCUAACUGGAUGAAUCAAAAUUUGAUAACAGGUGUUAAUGAAAUUGACAACUUCGUGCAAUGUGAAAGGCACUCGAAGGGGAUUUUCGGUUA